GCACUAAUCCUCCCAGGGGAACCUGGCCCUUAAUUCGAUUAUCCACGAACCUCUUACCUUUUCUAGUUUUACCUCCGCCGCAAGGCCAGGUAAAGUCCAGCUCGCAUACCGCCGUUUCACAGCCUGUGUCGUGAGAGCACAGAAAUAGGCACCCUAGCAGCUUUUACGAAGAGCUUUGCUAACAAUUCAGGUAAACGUGUGGCCUAUGAAGAGGGGGAGCUGGGUUACAGUUGAAGCUUGAAAUGAAACUACUACCUAAAGGGGUAGAGUGAAAGAGGACUUGGAAGUAACUUCUUUGGACAAAGAAGCAGUGAAUAGUGCUCUAGUGUGUGU
RNAcentral lists this ribosomal RNA (333 nucleotides) under Lottia smithi. RNAcentral's name for it is "partial 12S ribosomal RNA". Lineage: Eukaryota; Metazoa; Mollusca; Gastropoda; Lottiidae. The record is from RNAcentral.